CCUACGGGAGGCAGCAGUGAGGAAUAUUGGUCAAUGGACGAGAGUCUGAACCAGCCAAGUAGCGUGAAGGAUGACUGCCCUAUGGGUUGUAAGCUUCUUUUAUAUGGGAAUAAAAUGUUCCACGUGUGGGAUUUUGUAUGUACCAUAUGAAUACGGAUCGGCUAACUCCGUGCAAUCAGCCGCGGUAAUACGGUGGAUCCGAGCGUUAUCCGGAUUGAUUGGGUUUAAAGGGAGCGUAGGUGGAUUGUUAAGUCAGUUGUUAAAGUUUGCGGGUCAACCGUAAAAUUGCAGUUGAAACUGGCAGUCUAGAGUACAGUAGAGGUGGGCGGAAUUCGUGGUGUAGCGGUGAAAUGCUUAGAUAUCACGAAGAACUCCGAUUGCGAAGGCAGCUCACUGGGCUGCAACUGACACUGAGGCUCGAAAGUGUGGGUAUCAAACAGGAUUAGAUACCCUUGUAGUC
Molecule: ribosomal RNA, 460 nt
Filed under: uncultured bacterium
Lineage: Bacteria
Description: partial 16S ribosomal RNA
Rfam family: Bacterial small subunit ribosomal RNA
Source: RNAcentral